RNAcentral lists this ribosomal RNA (433 nucleotides) under uncultured bacterium. RNAcentral's name for it is "partial 16S ribosomal RNA". It matches the Rfam family "Bacterial small subunit ribosomal RNA", at positions 29 to 507 of the family's 1533-position model. The record is from RNAcentral.
AGCGAACGCUGGCGGCAUGCCUAACACAUGCAAGUCGAACGAACUCUUCGGAGUUAGUGGCGGACGUGUGAGUAACACGUGGGAACGUGCCUUUUGGUUCGGUAUACCUCACGGAAACUUGUGCUAAUACCGCAUGUGCCCUUCGGGGGAAAGAUUUAUCGCCAUUUGAGCGGCCCGCGUCUGAUUAGCUAGUUGGUGAGGUAACGGCUCACCAAGGCGACGAUCAGUAGCUGGUCUGAGAGGAUGACCAGCCACACUGGGACUGAGACACGGCCCAGACUCCGACGGGAGGCAGCAGUGGGGAAUCUUGCGGAAUGGGCGAAAGCCUGACGCAGCCAUGCCGCGUGAAUGAUGAAGGUCUUAGGAUUGUAAAAUUCUUUCACCGGGGACGAUAAUGACGGUACCCGGAGAAGAAGCCCCGGCUAACUUCGUG